UGCACGCUGCUUUGGUUACUUGUCUUUCGCAAGAUGAAUGGCCAGGACCGUGUACAUCCAAUCACCAGGGAGAAACGAUCAAACCUGUAAUCGAUUCUGUAGAGAUAACACUUGAUUUUGUAAUCCUUUAUUACGAGAUAAUUUUGCUUAUUACAUAAAGCUAGGAGGCCAAUAAAAUGGGAGAUUUACGAGAGUUUUGAAACAAGACAUCGAUAGCUACCUUGGUCCGUUAUGUGGGACAGAACAGGAAGAAACGACAAUGACGUCUAUAGAUGUGACGCCAAUGCAUUUCUUGGCAAUAUAUUGAAACACAAGUACUUACGUAUGUGUAUACGAGAUACAGCAAGUACACGUACCAAAUCGGAUUUUUCUGCGUGGUACCGGUGAAAGGGAAAAGAUACCGGCGCGGCGCGGUGGUCUGGCAGGCCUAGAUACCCAAGAUCUGUCUGUCCUCUCAUUUAUAUUCAGCAAAGUUCAUGUUAUUUUAAGAUUUUCAUCUUUCAUAGAAUUUUUGAUUUCCUUCUCAUUUUGUUUAUUUGUAGGUUACGACCAUGGUACUACAUAUUGUAGCAAAUUGUAAAAUAUCAAUGAAGAGAAAGCUAUAGUUAUUCUUUGUUUAUCUAUAAUGGAGAUCAAG
Molecule: unclassified non-coding RNA, 637 nt
Filed under: Bombus terrestris (buff-tailed bumblebee)
Lineage: Eukaryota; Metazoa; Arthropoda; Insecta; Hymenoptera; Apidae
Description: misc RNA ENSBTSG00005029619.1
Source: RNAcentral